Molecule: long non-coding RNA, 610 nt
Filed under: Fukomys damarensis (Damara mole-rat)
Lineage: Eukaryota; Metazoa; Chordata; Mammalia; Rodentia; Bathyergidae
Description: lncRNA (ENSFDAG00000024302.1)
Source: RNAcentral
GAAAAGUUCUCAUGGUUAUAAGAUUUAAACUGAAAGAACAGCAUGCUAUGUUAUAUUUAUGAUUCUUUUUGUUUGAGGAAUUGAAAGAGGUCUGCAAACAAGGUCCAAUAAAUCUCUUUCAGACAGUUGCUUGUGGGAACUCUUCCCCACUCAAUGGAGACUAGAACACAUAAAGGGAAACCAGAGACUGGGGAGAGAAAAAGAGGCCGGACAGGUGCCUGCUGUUGUCUGAAAUCACCAAAGAAGGGCAGGGCUGCAGGCAUUUGACUUCUGACAGAACUUGUCCAUGUAAAGCGCCUGCAUGGUAUCUUUCCCAUGUGGUCGCUGUUAUAUAUGGAUUCGCCAUCUGUCAGCACAGAGAAAAGAUCAAGAGAGUCCUUGUGAUGGAAUGCAUAUGAUCAUGGAAGAAAUCGAUUCAUGUAUGCUUGGAGACAAGAGAGAAAAGCAGUCGCAAGACUGGGUCAGCACAUGUACGUGUGCCAUAGAGUCACUGCACCUCGGCAGGAUGAGCUGCAUUCACAGAAGAUAUUACUUUCCAAAGAUGAAGGGCCCAAUAAACGGAAGUAGCCACUCGGACAAAGAAUCCAAAUUUUCCACAUACAAUUUCCCU